GAAAACAACCGUGAUUCCGUUAGUAGUGGCGAGCGAAGGCGGAUGAGGCUAAACCAUAUGCGUGUCAAGCCGGCAGGCGUUGCGUGUGUGGUGUUGUGGGAGCAAGUGUGUGUGGCUGCCGUCGCAUGCUGUUGAUGUUGUCGUUAGCGGAAGUCGUUUGGAACGGCGCACCGUAGUGGGUGAGAGUCCCGUACGUGAAAGCGGCAAUUGUUGAUGGUUCUUGUUUCCCGAGUAGCAC
Molecule: ribosomal RNA, 238 nt
Filed under: Anophryoides haemophila
Lineage: Eukaryota; Ciliophora; Oligohymenophorea; Philasterida; Glauconematidae
Description: partial Archaeal large subunit ribosomal RNA
Rfam family: Bacterial large subunit ribosomal RNA
Source: RNAcentral